Molecule: transfer RNA, 67 nt
Filed under: Graptomyza sp.
Lineage: Eukaryota; Metazoa; Arthropoda; Insecta; Diptera; Syrphidae
Description: tRNA-Ala
Source: RNAcentral
AGGGUAAUAGUUAAAAUAUACCGUUUGAUUUGCAUUCAAAAAUUAUUGAUUUAUUCAAUUUACCUUG